GACAAUCGCGUCCAUUCAACGGGCGAGGAAAGUCCGAGCUCCACAGGGCAGUGUGCUGGAUAACGUCCAGCGAGGGUGACCUUAGGGACAGUGCCAUAGAAAUUUAGACCGCCGAUCUAGGAUCGGUAAGGGUGGAAAGGUGCGGUAAGAGCGCACCAGCAGUCGGGUGACCGGCUGGCUUCGGUAAACCCCACAUGGAGCAAGACCAAAUAGGGAAGGGCUAAGGCGGCCCGCCAACCUUCCGGGUAGUGUCGCUAGAGGCGUCCGGCAACGGGCGUCCCAGAUAAAUGAUUGUCGCCGCCCAUCGGGCGGAACAGAACUCGGCUUAUUGGUU
This 334-nucleotide RNase P RNA is filed under the name uncultured Centipeda sp. RNAcentral's name for it is "Bacterial RNase P class A". It matches the Rfam family "Bacterial RNase P class A". Rfam says of the family: Ribonuclease P (RNase P) is a ubiquitous endoribonuclease, found in archaea, bacteria and eukarya as well as chloroplasts and mitochondria. Its best characterised activity is the generation of mature 5'-ends of tRNAs by cleaving the 5'-leader elements of precursor-tRNAs. Cellular RNase Ps are ribonucleoproteins. The record is from RNAcentral. Lineage: Bacteria; Bacillati; Bacillota; Negativicutes; Selenomonadales; Selenomonadaceae.